AUUGAAUAUUUUUUUUAUAUUAGGGCUGCUCUGACUCCGGGGAGUGUGGGAUAUUGGGCUCAAUGACGUGUUUUUCUGGUCCGGAAGGCUUAAAUAUUGGACCCAUAUCUUUUUUUAGAAUUUAAAAAAAUAGUUUAGGCAUGGGGAGCGAGGCGUUUGUACAAAUGUACGAAAGCGUUGGUUAGAAGAGUAAAAAAGAUAUACACCAUCAUUCUCCUCUCUCCUACUA
Long non-coding RNA from Bradysia coprophila, 229 nucleotides. The record is from RefSeq and is a predicted model, not a curated record. NCBI's taxonomy places the organism in Eukaryota, Metazoa, Arthropoda, Insecta, Diptera, Sciaridae.